Molecule: ribosomal RNA, 520 nt
Filed under: Anguilla japonica (Japanese eel)
Lineage: Eukaryota; Metazoa; Chordata; Actinopteri; Anguilliformes; Anguillidae
Description: partial 16S rRNA
Rfam family: Bacterial large subunit ribosomal RNA
Source: RNAcentral
AACGGCCGCGGUAUCCUGACCGUGCGAAGGUAGCGUAAUCAUUUGUCUUUUAAAUAGAGACCUGUAUGAAUGGCAUAACGAGGGUUUAACUGUCUCCUUCCCCUAGUCAAUGAAAUUGAUCUGCCCGUGCAGAAGCGGACAUAAAUACAUAAGACGAGAAGACCCUAUGGAGCUUUAGACAAAAGAUCAAACAUGUAAAGAAACCAAGUUAACCAAAAGGAACACAAAGGCCACGAAACCCGACGUAAACUGAUCCAAAUGUCUUCGGUUGGGGCGACCAUGGGGGAGAAAAAAGCCCCCACGAGGAACAGGGACUAAUCCCUAAGCCAAGAGAGACAUCUCUAAGCAACAGAAAAUCUGACCAAAAGUGACCCAGAAUACUAAUUCUGAUCAACGAACCAAGUUACCCUAGGGAUAACAGCGCAAUCCUUUCCCAGAGUCCAUAUCGACGAAAGGGUUUACGACCUCGAUGUUGGAUCAGGACAUCCUAAUGGUGCAGCCGCUAUUAAGGGUUCGUUUU